RNAcentral lists this ribosomal RNA (482 nucleotides) under uncultured bacterium. RNAcentral's name for it is "partial 16S ribosomal RNA". It matches the Rfam family "Bacterial small subunit ribosomal RNA", at positions 30 to 507 of the family's 1533-position model. The record is from RNAcentral.
AUUGAACGCUGGCGGCAUGCCUUACACAUGCAAGUCGAACGGUAACGGGCCUUCGGGUGCCGACGAGUGGCGAACGGGUGCGUAAUACAUCGGAACGUGCCCGAUCGUGGGGGAUAACGAGGCGAAAGCUUUGCUAAUACCGCGUACGAUCUACGGAUGAAAGCAGGGGACCGCAAGGCCUUGCGCGGACGGAGCGGCCGAUGGCAGAUUAGGUAGUUGGUGGGAUAAAAGCUUACCAAGCCGACGAUCUGUAGCUGGUCUGAGAGGAUGAUCAGCCACACUGGGACUGAGACACGGCCCAGACUCCUACGGGAGGCAGCAGUGGGGAAUUUUGGACAAUGGGCGCAAGCCUGAUCCAGCCAUGCCGCGUGCAGGAUGAAGGCCUUCGGGUUGUAAACUGCUUUUGUACGGAACGAAAAGCCUUCUUUUAAUACAGGAGGGUCAUGACGGUACCGUAAGAAUAAGCACCGGCUAACUACGUG